This 492-nucleotide ribosomal RNA is filed under the name uncultured bacterium. Its description in RNAcentral is "partial 16S ribosomal RNA". It matches the Rfam family "Bacterial small subunit ribosomal RNA", at positions 29 to 507 of the family's 1533-position model. The record is from RNAcentral.
AGUGAACGCUGGCGGUAGGCCUAACACAUGCAAGUCGAACGGCAGCACAGUAAUAGCUUGCUCUUACGGGUGGCGAGUGGCGGACGGUUGAGGAAUACAUCGGAAUCUACUUUUUCGUGGGGGAUAACGUAGGGAAACUUACGCUAAUACCGCAGACGACCUACGGGUGAAAGCAUGGGAUCUUCGGACCUUGCGCGAUUGAAUGAGCCGAUGUCGGAUUAGCUAGUUGGCGGGGUAAAGGCCCACCAAGGCGACGAUCCGUAGCUGGUCUGAGAGGAUGAUCAGCCACACUGGAACUGAGACACGGUCCAGACUCCUACGGGAGGCAGCAGUGGGGAAUAUUGGACAAUGGGCGCAAGCCUGAUCCAGCCAUACCGCGUGGGUGAAGAAGGCCUUCGGGUUGUAAAGCCCUUUUGUUGGGAAAGAAAAGCAGCAGGUUAAUACCCCGCUGUUCUGACGGUACCCAAAGAAUAAGCACCGGCUAACUUCGUG